AGGUUACUAAUGGAGCCCGAAUCUGAUGUAUUUUUCGGUCAGUGGUUGUUUGAUCUAUUUUAGAUUUUUAAAUGCUGUAUGGUAUUUGAUGUGUUUAUUCUAUUGUUUUGUAUUCAUGAAUCACGAUUUUGUUUAUUAUGGUUUAAAUUAUUGUGAACUUGUUGUUGUAUUGUUUAGUGUUCAUUACUGGUUUACGUGUUUAGCUUUGAUUGGAUAAUUGAGACCAAGAAAAAUGGAAAAAGGUAUGUGAAUUGAUAAAUAGAUAAUGUCGACAGCCCAACUAGAUAUCCUGGGAGAUGGUGGACGGACCAAGUCCGUACGGAACCCUACCGGAAACGUGGUCUCUCGUAUCGGACGGAGUAUGGAGACCUUAUGUGUUUUGGUG
This 385-nucleotide long non-coding RNA is filed under the name Carica papaya (papaya). Its description in RNAcentral is "long non-coding RNA (CPAP_LNC000346)". Lineage: Eukaryota; Viridiplantae; Streptophyta; Magnoliopsida; Brassicales; Caricaceae. The record is from RNAcentral.